RNAcentral lists this ribosomal RNA (2825 nucleotides) under Durio zibethinus. Its description in RNAcentral is "eukaryotic LSU rRNA". It matches the Rfam family "Eukaryotic large subunit ribosomal RNA", at positions 304 to 3281 of the family's 3401-position model. Lineage: Eukaryota; Viridiplantae; Streptophyta; Magnoliopsida; Malvales; Malvaceae. The record is from RNAcentral.
CUAAAUUGUAGUCUAAAUAUGGACGAGAGAUCAAUAGCAAACAAGUAUCAUGAGGGAAAGAUGAAAAGGACUUUGAAAAGAGAGUCAAAGAGUGCUUGAAAUUGUCGGGAGGGAAGCGGAUGGGGGAUCGGCUCGGGGCGUGGACCGACGCGGGUCGUGGUGAUGGCCCAAGCUUGGGCAUUCGAUAUGCCCUCAGAGACAUCAUCACCGUGAUCAUGGAAUGCAGCACGCGGUGUCUCAGCAUGCCUUGACACCUGCGUGUUCCCCAUCUGACCCAUAUUGAAACACAAACCAAGGAGUCUGACAUGUGUACGAGUGAAUGGGCCAAGAAAGCUGUAAAGCACAAGAAAGUUGAUUGAUAGGAUCCUUUAUGGGUGCACCAUUGAUCGACCUUGAUCUUCUAAGAAGGGUUCGAGUGAGAGCAUGCCCAUCGGGACCCGAAAGAUGGUGAACUAUGCCUGAGCGGGGUGAAGCCAAAGGAAACUUUGGUGGAGGCCCACAUCGAUACUGGCGUGCAAAUCAUUCGUCUGACUUGGGUAUAGGGGUGAAAGACUAAUCAAACCGUCUAGUAGCUAGUUCCCUCUGAAGUUUUCCUCAGGCUAGCUGAAGCCCCAACGAGUUCUAUUGAGUAAAGCCAAUCAUUAGAGGCAUCAGGAGCAUAAUGCCCUCGACCUAUUCUCAAACUUUAAAUAGGUAAGACGACGUGACUACUUCGUUGAGCUGUGCCACAGAAUCGAGAGCUCCAAGUGGGCUAUUUUUGGUAAGCAGAACUGGUGAUGUGGGAUGAACUGAAAUCCGAGUUACGGUGCCCAACUACGUGCUAACCUGAAACCCAUAAAGGGUGUUGCUUGAUUAAAACAGUAGGACGGUGGUCAUGGAAGUCAAAAUCCACUAAGGAAUGUGUAACAACUCACCUGUCGAAUCAACCAGCCCCGAAAAUGGAUGGCGCUUAAGCGUGCGACCUAUACCCGAUCAUCGGGGCAAGGGCUAAGCCUUGAUGAGUAGGAGGGUGUGACGAUCGUCGUAAAACCUGGGGCACGAGCCCAGGUGAAAUGCCAUCGGUGCAGAUCUUAGUGGUAGUAGCAAAUAUUCAAAUGAAAACUUUGAAGGCCGAAGAAGGGAAAGGUUCCAUGUGAAUGGCAUUUGGACAUGGGUUAGUCGAUCCUAAGAGGCAGGGAAAGCCCGUCUGACAUCACGUCCCACGUGAGCUUCGAAAGGGAAUCAGGUUAAAAUUCUUGAACUGGGAUACGACAACUGACGACAACUUUAGGGAGUCCGGAGACGUGGACGGGGGCCUCAGAAAGAGUUAUCUUUUCUAUUUAACGACCCGUCUACCCUGGAAAUGACUUAGCUAGAGCUAGGGUCCAAAGGUCGAAAGAGCACCGUACAUCGCAUGGUAUCUAGUGCACCCUCGAUGGCCCUUGAAAAUCCAAAAGAUCGAGUGCUGUCUGUGCCCGAUCGUACUUAUAAUCGCAUCAGGUCUCCACGGUGAACAGCCUUUGGUCAUGGAAUAAUGUACGUAAGAAAAGUCAAUAAAAUGGAUCUAUAACCUCGAGAAAAGGAUUGGCUCUGAGGGCUGGUCACAGAGGUCCCAGUCCUGAACCCAUCGACUGCCAGUGCACUAUUCGUGCUGCUCCCAUGGUGAGAACGGGUCACCGCGUGCCGAUCGGGGGACGGACUGAGAACGACACCCUCGGGGGCCUUCCCCGGGUGAUGAACAAUCGACUCAAAAUUGGUACGGAUAAGGGCAAUCUGACUAUUUAAUUAAAAAAAGGCAUUGCGAUGGUCCUUACGGAUGCUCAUGCAAUGUGAUUUCUGCCCAGUGCUCUGAAUGUCAAAGUGAAGAAAUUCAACCAAGCGCGGGUAAACGACAGGAGUAACUAUGACUCUCUUAAGGUAGCCAAAUGCCUCAUCAUCUAAUUAGUGACGGGCAUGAAUGGAUUAACAAGAUUCCUACAAUCCCUGUCUACCAUCCAGCGAAAUCACAGCUAAGGGAAUGGGCUUGGUAGAAUCAGCGGGGAAAAAAGACCUUAUUGAGCUCGACUCUAGUCCGACUUUGUGAAAUGACUUGAGAGGUGUAGGAUAAGUGGGAGCCCCCGAGCAAAAUUGAAAUACCACUACUUUUAACAUUAUUUUAUUUAUUUCAUGAAUCAGAGGUGGGGCACGACCCCUUCUUUUGUACCCAAGGUCGGCCUCACCCGGGUGAAAGACAUUGUCAGGUGAGGAGUUUGGCUGGGGUGACACAUCUAUUAAAAGAUAACACAGGUGUCCUAAGAUGAGCUUAACAAGAACAAAAAUCUCAUGAUAGCGUGGCCUAUUGAUCCUUUCGACCUUUGGGAUUUGAAGCUAGAGGUGACAAAAAAGUUACCACAGGGAUAACUGGCUUGUGGCAGCCAAGCGUUCAUAGCGACAUUGCUUUUUAAUCCUUCGAUGUAGGCUCUUCCUAUCAUUGUGAAGCUGAAUUCACCAAGUGUUAGAUUAUUCAUCCACCAAUACGGAACGUGAGCUGGGUUUAGACCAUCAUGAGAUAGGUUAGUUUUACGCUACUGAUGGUGAUGGCGUGAUAGUAAUUCAACCUAGUACGAGAGGAAUCAUUGAUUCGCACAAUUGGUCAUCGCGCUUGGUUGAAAAGCCAAUGGCACAAAGCUAUCGUGCGUUGGAUUAUGACUAAACACCUCUAAGUCAGAAUCUGGGAUAGAAGUGACACGUGCUUCCGUCGCCUAAUUGCCGACCCACAGUAGGGGCCCAUGGCCCCCAAGGGCACAUGUUGUAGGUGCAACCCCCACAGCAGACGAGCCACGCGAGCCUCUUUGGAGCUCAAUUCC